Molecule: ribosomal RNA, 466 nt
Filed under: uncultured Enterobacteriaceae bacterium
Lineage: Bacteria; Pseudomonadati; Pseudomonadota; Gammaproteobacteria; Enterobacterales; Enterobacteriaceae
Description: bacterial SSU rRNA
Rfam family: Bacterial small subunit ribosomal RNA
Source: RNAcentral
UCCUACGGGGGGCUGCAGUGGGGAAUAUUGCACAAUGGGCGCAAGCCUGAUGCAGCCAUGCCGCGUGUAUGAAGAAGGCCUUCGGGUUGUAAAGUACUUUCAGCGGGGAGGAAGGUGUUGAGGUUAAUAACCUCAGCAAUUGACGUUACCCGCAGAAGCAGCACCGGCUAACUCCGUGACAGCAGCAGCGGUAAUACGGAGGGUGCAAGCGUUAAUCGGAAUUACUGGGCGUAAAGCGCACGCAGGCGGUCGUGCAAGUCGGAUGUGAAAUCCCCGGGCUCAACCGGGGAACUGCAUGCGAAACUGGCAGGCUAGAGUCGUGUAGAGGGGGGUAGAAUUCCAGGUGUAGCGGUGAAAUGCGUAGAGAUCUGGAGGAAUACCGGUGGCGAAGGCGGCCCCCUGGACAAAGACUGACGCUCAGGUGCGAAAGCGUGGGGAGCAAACAGGAUUAGAUACCCCAGUAGUC